Molecule: ribosomal RNA, 1425 nt
Filed under: uncultured candidate division WS6 bacterium
Lineage: Bacteria
Description: bacterial SSU rRNA
Rfam family: Bacterial small subunit ribosomal RNA
Source: RNAcentral
AGAGUUUGAUUCUGGCUCAGGAUGAACGUUGGCUGUGUGCCUAAGGUAUGCAAGUCGAACGAUCCCUUUGAACUACUUGAGACUUCGGUUGAUUGUUUUUCUUUUUGGGAUAGUGGCAAACGGGUGAGUAACACGUGGAUAACCUACCUCGAAGUCAUGAACAGCUCAUCGAAAGAUGGGAUAAUACAUGAUGGUCUUAUAUUUUCUUUAUGAUUUUAUAAGUAAAGCUUUUGCGCUUUGAGAGGGGUCCGCGUCCUAUCAGCUUGUUGGUGAGGUAAUGGCUCACCAAGGCUAAGACGGGUAGCUGGCGUGAGAGCGCGGUCAGCCACCAUGGAACUGAGACACGGUCCAUACUCCUACGGGAGGCAGCAAUUAGGAAUCUUGCGCAAUGGGGGCAACCCUGACGCAGCGACACAGCGUGGAGGACGAAGGUCUUAGGAUUGUAAACUCCUUUUAUAUGGGAAGAAUAGAUGACGGUACCAUAUGAAUAAGCACCUGCUAACUACGUGCCAGAAGCAUCGGUGAUGCGUAGGGUGCAAACGUUAUCCGGAUUUAUUGGGCGUAUAGAGAUGCGUAGGCGUUUUUGUAAGUCUUUAGUUAAAUAUCACGGCUCAACCGUGGACAAGCUUUGGAUACUGCAAGAAUUGAGACAGGAAGAGGCGAACAGAAUUCCCAGUGGAGCGGUGAAAUGCGUUGAUAUUGGGAGGAAUAUCAGUGGCGAAGGCGGUUCGCUGGUCCUUGUCUGACGCUAAGGCUCGAAAGCGUGGGUAGCAAAACGGAUUAGAUACCCGUGUAGUCCACGCCGUAAACUAUGGAUGCUAGGUGUUCGGUACAACUAUUUUUUCCUUCGGGAAAUGAUGGAAGUAUUGAGUACCGCAGUUAACACGUUAAGCAUCCCGCCUGGGAAGUACGGCCGCAAGGCUAAAACUCAAAGGAAUUGACGGGGACCCGCACAAGCAGCGGAGCAUGUGGUUUAAUUCGAAGCAACGCGAAGAACCUUACCAGGUCUUGACAUCCUUCUGGAUAGUCCUUAGCCGGACUAGCCCUUCGGGGCAGAAGAGACAGGUGGUGCAUGGUUGUCGUCAGCUCGUGUCGUGAGAUGUUGGGUUAAGUCCCGCAACGAGCGCAACCCUUGUGUUUAGUUGCCAACAGGUAAAGCUGUGCACUCUAGACAGACUGCCGUGGAAAACACGGAGGAAGGUGGGGAUGACGUCAAAUCAUCAUGCCCCUUAUGAUCUGGGCUACACACGUGCUACAAUGGCCGGUACAACGGGCAGCGAAGGAGCGAUCCGGAGCGAAUCCUAAAAAGCCGGUCCCAGUUCGGAUUGCAGGCUGCAACUCGCCUGCAUGAAGUUGGAGUUGCUAGUAAUCGCGAAUCAGCAUGUCGCGGUGAAUGCGUUCCCGGGUCUUGUACACACCCCCGUC